UUUUUCCACCGGAGCUUGCUCCACCGGAAAAAGAAGAGUGGGGAACGGGUGAGUAACACGUGGGUAACCUGCCCAUCAGAAGGGGAUAACACUUGGAAACAGGUGCUAAUACCGUAUAACAAUCGAAACCGCAUGGUUUUGAUUUGAAAGGCGCUUUCGGGUGUCGCUGAUGGAUGGACCCGCGGUGCAUUAGCUAGUUGGUGAGGUAACGGCUCACCAAGGCCACGAUGCAUAGCCGACCUGAGAGGGUGAUCGGCCACAUUGGGACUGAGACACGGCCCAAACUCCUACGGGAGGCAGCAGUAGGGAAUCUUCGGCAAUGGACGAAAGUCUGACCGAGCAACGCCGCGUGAGUGAAGAAGGUUUUCGGAUCGUAAAACUCUGUUGUUAGAGAAGAACAAGGAUGAGAGUAACUGUUCAUCCCUUGACGGUAUCUAACCAGAAAGCCACGGCUAACUACGUGCCAGCAGCCGCGGUAAUACGUAGGUGGCAAGCGUUGUCCGGAUUUAUUGGGCGUAAAGCGAGCGCAGGCGGUUUCUUAAGUCUGAUGUGAAAGCCCCCGGCUCAACCGGGGAGGGUCAUUGGAAACUGGGAGACUUGAGUGCAGAAGAGGAGAGUGGAAUUCCAUGUGUAGCGGUGAAAUGCGUAGAUAUAUGGAGGAACACCAGUGGCGAAGGCGGCUCUCUGGUCUGUAACUGACGCUGAGGCUCGAAAGCGUGGGGAGCAAACAGGAUUAGAUACCCUGGUAGUCCACGCCGUAAACGAUGAGUGCUAAGUGUUGGAGGGUUUCCGCCCUUCAGUGCUGCAGCUAACGCAUUAAGCACUCCGCCUGGGGAGUACGACCGCAAGGUUGAAACUCAAAGGAAUUGACGGGGGCCCGCACAAGCGGUGGAGCAUGUGGUUUAAUUCGAAGCAACGCGAAGAACCUUACCAGGUCUUGACAUCCUUUGACCACUCUAGAGAUAGAGCUUCCCCUUCGGGGGCAAAGUGACAGGUGGUGCAUGGUUGUCGUCAGCUCGUGUCGUGAGAUGUUGGGUUAAGUCCCGCAACGAGCGCAACCCUUAUUGUUAGUUGCCAUCAUUUAGUUGGGCACUCUAGCAAGACUGCCGGUGACAAACCGGAGGAAGGUGGGGAUGACGUCAAAUCAUCAUGCCCCUUAUGACCUGGGCUACACACGUGCUACAAUGGGAAGUACAACGAGUCGCGAAGUCGCGAGGCUAAGCUAAUCUCUUAAAGCUUCUCUCAGUUCGGAUUGUAGGCUGCAACUCGCCUACAUGAAGCCGGAAUCGCUAGUAAUCGCGGAUCAGCACGCCGCGGUGAAUACGUUCCCGGGCCUUGUACACACCGCCCGUCACACCACGAGAGUUUGUAACACCCGAAGUCGGUGAGGUAACCUUUUGG
This 1401-nucleotide ribosomal RNA is filed under the name Enterococcus durans. Its description in RNAcentral is "bacterial SSU rRNA". It matches the Rfam family "Bacterial small subunit ribosomal RNA", at positions 72 to 1446 of the family's 1533-position model. Lineage: Bacteria; Bacillati; Bacillota; Bacilli; Lactobacillales; Enterococcaceae. The record is from RNAcentral.